AUACGAAGGGUGCAAGCGUUACUCGGAAUUACUGGGCGUAAAGCGUGCGUAGGUGGUUGUUUAAGUCUGUCGUGAAAGCCCUGGGCUCAACCUGGGAAUGGCGAUGGAAACUGGGCGACUAGAGUGUGGCAGAGGGUAGUGGAAUUCCUGGUGUAGCAGUGAAAUGCGUAGAGAUCAGGAGGAACAUCCGUGGCGAAGGCGACUGCCUGGGCCAACACUGACACUGAGGCACGAAAGCGUGGGGAGCAAACAGGAUUAGAUACCCUGGUAGUCCACGCCCUAAACGAUGCGAACUGGAUGUUGGGUGCAAUUUGGCACGCAGUAUCGAAGCUAACGCGUUAAGUUCGCCGCCUGGGGAGUACGGUCGCAAGACUGAAACUAAAAGGAAUUGACGGGG
This 397-nucleotide ribosomal RNA is filed under the name uncultured bacterium. RNAcentral's name for it is "partial 16S ribosomal RNA". It matches the Rfam family "Bacterial small subunit ribosomal RNA", at positions 523 to 918 of the family's 1533-position model. The record is from RNAcentral.